UGGGAGCUUGCUCCCUGAUGUUAGCGGCGGACGGGUGAGUAACACGUGGGUAACCUGCCUGUAAGACUGGGAUAACUCCGGGAAACCGGGGCUAAUACCGGAUGGUUGUUUGAACCGCAGGUUCAGACAUAAAAGGUGGCUUCGGCUACCACUUACAGAUGGACCCGCGGCGCAUAGCUAGUUGGUGAGGUAACGGCUCACCAAGGCGACGAUGCGUAGCCGACCUGAGAGGGUGAUCGGCCACACUGGGACUGAGACACGGCCCAGACUCCUACGGGAGGCAGCAGUAGGGAAUCUUCCGCAAUGGACGAAAGUCUGACGGAGCAACGCCGCGUGAGUGAUGAAGGUUUUCGGAUCGUAAAGCUCUGUUGUUAGGGAAGAACAAGUGCCGUUCAAAUAGGGCGGCACCUUGACGGUACCUAACCAGAAAGCCACGGCUAACUACGUGCCAGCAGCCGCGGUAAUACGUAGGUGGCAAGCGUUGUCCGGAAUUAUUGGGCGUAAAGGGCUCGCAGGCGGUUUCUUAAGUCUGAUGUGAAAGCCCCCGGCUCAACCGGGGAG
Molecule: ribosomal RNA, 561 nt
Filed under: Bacillus sp. (in: firmicutes)
Lineage: Bacteria; Bacillati; Bacillota; Bacilli; Caryophanales; Bacillaceae
Description: bacterial SSU rRNA
Rfam family: Bacterial small subunit ribosomal RNA
Source: RNAcentral